Molecule: small RNA, 556 nt
Filed under: Histoplasma ohiense
Lineage: Eukaryota; Fungi; Ascomycota; Eurotiomycetes; Onygenales; Ajellomycetaceae
Description: hypothetical lncRNA
Source: RNAcentral
UGACCAGCCGCCUGUUUUCUCUUCGUUUUCAGCUAGCUCGGUAGCAGGAGAUGGGACAGUAUAGUAUUAUUCCCUUGGAAGCACAGAUUCGAUCUCCCCCCGGAGUAAUGCGAUUGUGUUGAAUUCUUUGUCGGAUGCGAUGAUGUUGAAGAUUAGGCAAGGCCGUGGAGGUCGUGUAAAUCCUCUUAAGAGCGAUCGCUUUGAGCGAAACCGAGCAUUAAUUGGACGAUCCGAACGCCCCUUUAUCACCGGUUUCAAAAUCCUUUCCAGCUUCCAGUAGUUUAAACGGAAUGGAAGGUACAGUAUCGGGCACAGGACAGGGCGGAGCGGUACAGAUACGAUCCCGAUGAAAUCCAAGUGAAGUAUACGUCUAGAGCGAAGAAUAACCACUUACAAAGCGGCUCCCCUACCGUAAACUGACUCGAGAACUGCGCAAUUACGAGUUUCAAUGUAUCCCAAAGAGGAAUUUCCUCCCACUCGUCCUUGUUCGGAAUCCACCUCUCAACUGCAUUUUGCAUUUCCUUACCCAUUGGUCCCAGAUAUCUGUCAUAGCCAG